Molecule: ribosomal RNA, 497 nt
Filed under: uncultured bacterium
Lineage: Bacteria
Description: partial 16S ribosomal RNA
Rfam family: Bacterial small subunit ribosomal RNA
Source: RNAcentral
GAUGAACGCUGGCGGCGUGCCUAAUACAUGCAAGUCGAGCGAACGGACGAGAAGCUUGCUUCUCUGAUGUUAGCGGCGGACGGGUGAGUAACACGUGGAUAACCUACCUAUAAGACUGGGAUAACUUCGGGAAACCGGAGCUAAUACCGGAUGAUAUUUUGAACCGCAUGGUUCAAAAGUGAAAGACGGUCUUGCUGUCACUUAUAGAUGGAUCCGCGCUGCAUUAGCUAGUUGGUAAGGUAACGGCUUACCAAGGCAACGAUGCAUAGCCGACCUGAGAGGGUGAUCGGCCCCACUGGAACUGAGGCACGGUCCAGACUCCUACGGGAGGAAGCAGUAGGGAAUCUUCCGGAAUGAGCGAAAGCCUGACGGAGCAACGCCGCGUGAGUGAUGAAGGUCUUCGGAUCGUAAAACUCUGUUAUUAGGGAAGAACAUAUGUGUAAGUAACUGUGCACAUCUUGACGGUACCUAAUCAGAAAGCCACGGCUAACUACGUG